AAUGAACGUUGGCGGCGUGGAUUAGGCAUGCAAGUCGAGCGAGAACCCAGCAAUGGGGGACAGCGGCGAAAGGGAUAGUAAUGUGUAGAUCAUCUGCCCUCAGGCCCGGGAUAGCUGCGGGAAACUGCAGGUAAUACCGGAUAAUAUCUCCGGAUCAAAGGUGUGAUUCCGCCUGGGGAUGAGUCUACAUCCUAUUAGCUAGUUGGUAGGGUAAUGGCCUACCAAGGCAUUGAUGGGGUAGCGGGUGUGAGAGCACGACCCGCGUCAUUGGGACUGAGACACUGCCCAGACACCUACGGGUGGCUGCAGUCGAGAAUCUUCGGCAAUGGGCGCAAGCCUGACCGAGCGACGCCGCGUGCGGGAUGAAGGCCUCGGUU
Molecule: ribosomal RNA, 377 nt
Filed under: uncultured bacterium
Lineage: Bacteria
Description: bacterial SSU rRNA
Rfam family: Bacterial small subunit ribosomal RNA
Source: RNAcentral